This 490-nucleotide ribosomal RNA is filed under the name uncultured bacterium. Its description in RNAcentral is "partial 16S ribosomal RNA". It matches the Rfam family "Bacterial small subunit ribosomal RNA", at positions 30 to 507 of the family's 1533-position model. The record is from RNAcentral.
AUUGAACGCUGGCGGCAGGCCUAACACAUGCAAGUCGAACGGUAACAGGAAGAAGCUUGCUUCUUUGCUGACGAGUGGCGGACGGGUGAGUAAUGUCUGGGAAACUGCCUGAUGGAGGGGGAUAACUACUGGAAACGGUAGCUAAUACCGCAUAUCGUCGCAAGACCAAAGAGGGGGACCUUCGGGCCUCUUGCCAUCGGAUGUGCCCAGAUGGGAUUAGCUAGUAGGUGGGGUAACGGCUCACCUAGGCGACGAUCCCUAGCUGGUCUGAGAGGAUGACCAGCCACACUGGAACUGAGACACGGUCCAGACUCCUACGGGAGGCAGCAGUGGGGAAUAUUGCACAAUGGGCGCAAGCCUGAUGCAGCCAUGCCGCGUGUAUGAAGAAGGCCUUCGGGUUGUAAAGUACUUUCAGCGGGGAGGAAGGGAGUAAAGUUAAUACCUUUGCUCAUUGACGUUACCCGCAGAAGAAGCACCGGCUAACUCCGUG